RNAcentral lists this ribosomal RNA (253 nucleotides) under uncultured bacterium. Its description in RNAcentral is "partial 16S ribosomal RNA". It matches the Rfam family "Bacterial small subunit ribosomal RNA", at positions 524 to 776 of the family's 1533-position model. The record is from RNAcentral.
UACGUAGGGCGCAAGCGUUGUCCGGAAUUAUUGGGCGUAAAGAGCUCGUAGGCGGUUUGUCGCGUCUGUCGUGAAAGCUUGGGGCUUAACCCCAAGUCUGCGGUGGAUACGGGCAGACUAGAGGCAGGUAGGGGAGAACGGAAUUCCCGGUGUAGCGGUGAAAUGCGCAGAUAUCGGGAGGAACACCGGUGGCGAAGGCGGUUCUCUGGGCCUGUACUGACGCUGAGGAGCGAAAGUGUGGGGAGCGAACAGG